UGGCCGCGUGUGAAAAGUUUUCUUUAAAUUUAAAUUUAAUUAGAGUAAAAGUGAAACAUUAACUAGUUUGGUGAUAAAUAUCAAUUAGUGUUUGGAAAAUUAAAUGAAAGUGAUUUAGUGAACAAUUUAGCAACAGGGCAGUGUUUUUUAUUAUAUUUUUUAUAUUUUUUUUCUGUUAAAUGUUAAAAAACUUUGUUUUUAACUUGUUUUUAAUAAAAUUUCGACGUUUCAGGCCCGAAAUGUGUGUUAAAUGGUCGUUUAAAGUGCAAUAAUUGUGGGUGCUCCCAAAAAUCUUUGCCGGCCGCCAUUUAAACACGCAUGUUCAGGCAUUAUUACGCAUUACUUCAUUCCACGCCAUUCCACUGCCAUGGAAGAACAGUUAGAUUUUGGAUGAAUGGCUUCAACAGUGAUGGCAGUCGACUGAUAGUGAUGCUCAUUUUGAAUAAUUUAUAAUUCAUUCUGCUUAUGGAUUAAUAAUUUUUUUAAAUAGUGAAAUAAAGUGAAAUAAUUAUGGAUGCUGAUGACGGCCAUUAUGGAAGAUGGCUGAUUCUAUUUGGAAUGGAGGAACAGUUAUGUUUUGGAUGUAGGAACUAAUCAGAGAUGAAUAGAGAUGCUCAGGCGGAAUAUUUAUUUCUUCAAUUUAUAAAUUAAUAAUAAAAAGGUGAAAAAAAGUGAAAUAUUUGUGGAUGCAGAUAACGGACAUUACUACGCAGUAGACAUCAUGGAAUUUGCAAUGGAGGAACAGUUAUAUUUUGGAAUAAUGAAACAAAAGCAAAUGGAAAUGGAAAUGGAAAUGGAUAUGGAGAAAUGGACUUGGAAUAUUCAUAAAUUUUUA
RNAcentral lists this small RNA (835 nucleotides) under Drosophila ananassae. Its description in RNAcentral is "GF27569". Lineage: Eukaryota; Metazoa; Arthropoda; Insecta; Diptera; Drosophilidae. The record is from RNAcentral.